CACGUAGGGUCCGAGCGUUGUCCGGAAUUAUUGGGCGUAAAGAGCUUGUAGGCGGCCUCUCACGUCGGCUGUGAAAACCCAGGGCUCAACCCUGGGCCUGCAGUCGAUACGAGGAGGCUAGAGUGUGGUAGGGGAGACUGGAAUACCUGGUGUAGCGGUGAAAUGCGCAGAUAUCAGGUGGAACACCGGUGGCGAAGGCGGGUCUCUGGGCCAUUACUGACGCUGAGAAGCGAAAGCGUGGGGAGCGAACAGG
RNAcentral lists this ribosomal RNA (253 nucleotides) under uncultured bacterium. RNAcentral describes it as "partial 16S ribosomal RNA". It matches the Rfam family "Bacterial small subunit ribosomal RNA", at positions 524 to 776 of the family's 1533-position model. The record is from RNAcentral.